UUAUUGGUUUGAGCAGAGGAUGAAAUUUGUAUUUAUAAAAUGAUAAAACCAUUUAUUACAUUGGAAAGGGAAGAAAUAUGGCUAAAAUCAUAAAGUUUUUUCAUGUCAUGAUUGUUAUUUUUUCUCUAUUUCUUGUUGCAGCAAUCGUUGAAUCGGGGUGGUAUCCUAGCAGACGAUGUACUAAGGAAACAGAUUGUCAUAAAAAAAUGUGUCCAAAUCAUAUGUUAGAGAAGUGUCUCCGUGGUUGGUGUAAAUGUAUAGAUCCUGAGACUUUUAUACCUUUUUAGUUCUUCAUAAUUCUGUAUUAAGUAUCAUAUCCAAGAGAGUAGUCAAUUUCAAGACAACGGUUUUUCUGUCAUUUAGUUUUUGUGUUUAUGUUGGUACCAUUGAUUUUUAUUUAUUUUUUAUCUAAUUUUAAGAAUUGUAUUUUUAUGACUUUGUAAUCUAGGAUGAUGGAAAUGAAAUAUAAUAUGGUAUCAAUUAAUAUUUAUUUA
Molecule: long non-coding RNA, 494 nt
Organism: Vicia villosa (hairy vetch)
Lineage: Eukaryota; Viridiplantae; Streptophyta; Magnoliopsida; Fabales; Fabaceae
Exons: 2
Source: RefSeq, a predicted model, not a curated record